AUAAUUUUAACAUUUGCUUCCAUAAAUGCUCUGACCAGUUUAAUAUGUGACACGUUCUCUAUCUAAGAACUCCCUAUUAAAUGGAUUUUUGCAGCAGGGAGAUGGAAUAGGAGCUUGCUCCGUCCACUUCGCGCACCCUCCUGGCAUUGCAGUGCUUCUAGGAAUGGUGCACCUCCC
This 177-nucleotide small nuclear RNA is filed under the name Chelonoidis abingdonii (Abingdon island giant tortoise). RNAcentral's name for it is "U2 spliceosomal RNA (ENSCABG00000015350.1)". It matches the Rfam family "U2 spliceosomal RNA". Rfam says of the family: U2 is a small nuclear RNA (snRNA) component of the spliceosome (involved in pre-mRNA splicing). Complementary binding between U2 snRNA (in an area lying towards the 5' end but 3' to hairpin I) and the branchpoint sequence (BPS) of the intron results the bulging out of an unpaired adenosine, on the BPS, which initiates a nucleophilic attack at the intronic 5' splice site, thus starting the first of two transesterification reactions that mediate splicing. The record is from Rfam by way of RNAcentral. Lineage: Eukaryota; Metazoa; Chordata; Testudines; Testudinidae.